UGUAAAAACAAAAAAGCAUUUUAAUGUGAUAUUUUAAACGUACAAAUGUAUUGCAUUAUUCCAAAUGAUAUUACAUACACGGUGUGAGUAUAUAUAUAUGCAUGCACAUAUAUAUUAAACGUAACGUAAGAAGAAAUGUACCACAAAUAAUUUGCUAUAUUUUUGGUAUGUUAUGUAAUCAAAAUUUUGGUACAUUAUGUAAUUUUAGUUUAGAUACGUACCAAGCUACUCGUAUGUUGUAUUAUCAUAUAAUUUGGUAUGUAAAAAGCUAACGACACGUUAUGUGUAACCCUAAACAAAAUUUAUGUUAAAACUUUAUACAAUUUAUAUAUUACAUAAAUUCUUAAUAAGAAGCUUUACCUCUAGAGAUAAAAACACAAAAUACAUUUCAUAGAACUUCAAUAGUUUUAAAUCAUAUCAAGGAGACGGAAAAACUCAAACCCCAAUUAUUUAUUGACAUGAUGACUCAUAUUUGUUUUAAGAAGGAAAAAAAGGAAAAGGAGAUUAUUUUCCAUGAAAUGGAUGUAGGUCAUGUUUCCGAAAAAAAAUUAAACUCUUCGAUUCUCGUCAAAUGCAAAGGUAAACUACAUUAUUAAGGCAAACCAUUGUAAGGAUUAACUCACUCCCCCACCUUCUUAUUGUAGAUACUAUUGUUGUUAAAAAAAAAAAAAAAAAAAAAAACUCUAAAUUUUUUAAAAUGUACAUAAAAUAUUUAAUUGGAAAAUAAGAAAAACACAUAAAUAAAGGUAAAGUAGUUUGAUCAAAACAUAAUGAAAGUAUUAUUACAUUAUCAUAUAUUCAGACGCCCACGUAUGACUUUUAUCUAGUGUUUAAUUUAUAAAAUGUUGAAUCUGAGCAAUUGAAUUUAAUUAUUUUUCAAUUUAAACGUAAUAUCGAUAAGAAAAUGUAAAUGAAAAAAGAAAAACUUACAUCAUGUAAUUACUAAUUUACCCUGGAUUUGAACCGUUUGGGUAGAUUGUUGCUUGUCCGUAUUCAAUUAAAGGACCGCCUUCGAGCGCGUUAUUUCUCCCGUCAGCGCCCGCUUUGCAUUUCAAAAUCCCAUCUCCCUCUCGCUCUAAAAGUCCCAACGGUCGAAAAAACGUGAUCCGAUUCUCUCAACGAUCAGUACAUCAAUUAAGGGGCAGCGAAUGGAACAGACGGCCACUUUUCUCAUCUGAAAUCUGAUCGGUGUUUGCAUUUCGGAUCUCUCUCUCUCUCUCUCUCUCUCCAAUUGCUUGAAGAUACCCAGUUUUCAAUCGUUCGAAGGGUUCCUGUACUUACAGUUUCAGUUCAGUUGUCCUUACUCUCUGUUCUCCCAAUGCCCCUCCUCUAAAGCCUAUGCGCAUCACCGUCCCCAAAACACAAACUCCCAGCCUCCGCGGGCAAAAGAGGAAACAAGAAGCAGCCCCACAAGAGUAAGGACGUCAAAAGAAGCACAGAUCGAAGAAGGUGCCUUCCCGUCUGUUGGCAUUCUGACAUUGGAAAUAGGUACGAUAAUUGGAGAACGAAAGCCUGAUCAUCUUAAUGAUGCUGAUAUAGCCGGUGCUCACAUCCGGACUCUGCUACUGACAUUUUUCAUGGGAUAUAUCAGGUAAAGAAUGCAUAUGUAGUGCAAUGGACUCAAAUAUCAAAUGGUGCAGUAGUUCUUGGUUACAGUUUGCAGAAAGCAAGAACAUACCAACUGAGAAGAAACCGAGAUAAAAGUAUCAACUCAUAUCUUACAAUGUAAAUGUAUGCAUUUCAAAACUAAAAA
Molecule: long non-coding RNA, 1753 nt
Organism: Pyrus x bretschneideri (Chinese white pear)
Lineage: Eukaryota; Viridiplantae; Streptophyta; Magnoliopsida; Rosales; Rosaceae
Exons: 2
Source: RefSeq, a predicted model, not a curated record